Molecule: ribosomal RNA, 2915 nt
Filed under: Patescibacteria group bacterium
Lineage: Bacteria
Description: 23S ribosomal RNA
Rfam family: Bacterial large subunit ribosomal RNA
Source: RNAcentral
CUAAGGCUAACGGUGGAUGCCUUGGCGGAUUGGGCCGAUGAAGGACGCGUGCUAGAGCGCGAUAUCAACGGUGAGUUCUCAAGCAAACGCUAUUAGCCGUUGGUUUCCGAAUGGGGAAACCCGCUCUGGUGUUAAGCCGGAGCGCCCGCCGUUUUAGGCGGGCGGGAACCCGGGGAACUGAAACAUCUUAGUACCCGGAGGAAGAGAAAUCAAUAUUACCCGUCGUUUUAGGCGGGUAGAGAUUCUGUAAGUAGCGGCGAGCGAAAGCGGAAGAGCCUAAACCCGUCGUUUUAGGCGGGGGUUGCGGGACUUAUCAUAACAAGAUGUUUUUGAUAGGAGAAUGUUUUGGAAAAAACAGCCAAAGAAGGUGAAAGCCCUGUAUCCGAAAUCAAAAACAUCUUAAGAUAAGAUUCCCAAGUACCACGGGACACGGGAAACCCUGUGGGAAGCUGGGGAGGUCACUCUCCAAGGCUAAAUACCCAAUCCGACCGAUAGUGAACCAGUACCGUGAGGGAAAGGUGAAAAGUCCCCCGUUGAGGGGAGUGAAAUAGAACCUGAAACCGUUAGCUAACAAGCAGUGGGAGCCCGCCUAAUUCGGCGGGUGACCGCGUGCCUAUUGAAGAAUGAGCCAGCGAGUUUUCGGUUAGUGCAAGCUUAAUUCCGCAGGGCGGAAGUAGGCGUAGCGAAAGCGAGUCUGAAUAAGGCGCAUGCACAUCGGCAACGAUGUGUUAGUACUAGCCGAAAGACCCGAAACCGGGUGAUCUAACCAUGGGCAGGGUGAACUUCGACGAAAAUCGAAGGGAGGCCCGCACCCGUUACUGACGAAAUAGUAUGGGACGACCUGUGGUUAGGGGUGAAACGCUAAACGAACCCGGAGAUAGCUGGUUCUCCCCGAGAUAUAUUUAGGUAUAGCCUCUUUGAGUAGCAAAGGGGGGUAGAGCUACUGGAUAUCUGCAGGAGCCAUUAGGUGACUGUAGAUAACCAAACUCCGAAUACCCUUUGUGAAAUCAAAGGGAGUCGGUCAUGCCGGGAUAAGCUGGUGUGGCGAGAGGGAAACAACCCAGAUCUCCAACUAAGGCUCUUAAAUGAUUCCUAAGUGGUAAAGGUCGUUUAAUUUCCAAGACAGCAGGGAGGUUGGCUUAGAGGCAGCCAUCCUUUAAAGAGUGCGUAACAGCUCACCUGAAUAUUUCCGAUGCAUAUCGGAAUGGAGAUUAAGCGCCAAAAAUGAACGGAUCUUAAGGAAUCUGCCGAAGUUGAGGCCCGCUGUUUUAGGCGGGGGUAGGGGAGCGUUCUUGUUGCGUUGAAGCUCAGAUGUGAGUCUGGGUGGAGCGGCAAGAAGCGAGAAUGCUGGCAUGAGUAGCGAUUCUCCCGUCGAGAAAACGGGACGCCGGAAGCCCAAGGUUUCCUUAGCAAUGUUAAUCAGCUAAGGGUUAGUCGAGGCCUAACCCUAAACCACUUCGGGUUUAGGGGAUGGAUAAGCGGUUAAUAUUCCGCUACCUCUGAUAAAGCGUUAUUACUUAAUUAGUGCGAGAUUUGAAGAUUCCAGCUUUGCUGCCCUUAUGGGUUAAGCAAAGUCUAAACCUCAAGUCAGCUUUGCUGGCAAGAGGUGAUGGGGACUCUGAUUUUAUCAGAGGACUGGAAGUCUUUAAAUCUCCGGGAAAAGCUAAUUUAAGGAGUUUUAUCAGAGCUCGUACCGCAAACCGACACAGGUGGGUUGGUGGAGUACACCGAGGCGUUCGGGAAAGAGUGGUUUAAGGAACUCGGCAAAAAAGCUAGGCGUAACCUUUGGGAGAAGCCUUGCCUCCAGUUGUCGGGGCCGCAGCUAAAGUUUGCCAACCGACUGUUUAUCAAAAACACAGCUCCCUGCUAACCUGAAAAAGGGAUGUAUAGGGGGUGAAGCCUGACCAGUGCCGGUAGGUUAAGCGCUGGGGUUGAUUUCCGAUCUUUUAAUCGGAAUGAGGCUCUAGUGUAAGCCCUGGUAAACGUCAGCCCUAACCCUGAGGGUUCUAAGGUAGCGUAAUCCCUUGUCGGGUAAGUUCCGACCUGCAUGAAAGGCCCAACGAGUUGGCAACUGUCUUAAACCACUCCUCGGCGAAAUUGAAAUGGCUGUGAAGAUGCGGCCUACUUACACCAGGACAAACAGACCCCGGGAGCUUUACUGGAUCCAGAUAUUGGUGUUGAUGCAGUAACUGUUUAGCGUAGGAGGGACCUACCGUUUUAGGUAGGGCCAAUGAAACACCUCUCUUUACUGUAUUAACGCCUAACUCCAACUUUUUGGGGGACAGUGUUUGGUGGCCAGUUUAACUGGGACGGUUGCCUCCUAAAGAGUAACGGAGGCGUACAAAGGUCGGCUUGCGCCGGAUGGAAAUCGGCGUGUAAGCGCAAGGGUAUAAGCCGGCUUGACUGCGAGGCUGACCAGCCGAGCAGAGUCGAAAGACGGUCCUAGUGAUCCUCGAUCCCGUUGUGAUUGCGGGACGGGCUUAACGGAUAAAAGUUACCCCGGGGAUAACAGGCUAGUCGGACCCGAGAGUUCAUAUCGACGGUCCGGUUCGGCACCUCGAUGUCGGCUCAUCCCAUCCUGGAGCUGGAGCAGGUUCCAAGGGUCGGGCUGUUCGCCCGUUAAAGGGGUACGUGAGCUGGGUUCAGAACGUCGUGAGACAGUUCGGACUCUAUCCGGUGUAAGCGUUUUGACUCUUGAGGGGGGACUUUCCUAGUACGAGAGGACCGGAAAGUGGAGAUCCCUGGUGUACCGGUUGUUCCAAAAGAGCAGCGCCGGGUAGCUAUAUCUCUAACUGAUAAGCACUGAAAGCAUCUAAAGUGUGAAGCAGACCCCAAGAUUAGGAAUCCAUCCGCCUUUAGGCGGGGCAGCCAUCCCGUAGAUUACGGGAUUAAUAGGCCUCAGGUGUAUGCCGAGA